GAUGAACGCUGGCGGCGUGCCUAAUACAUGCAAGUCGAGCGAACGGACGAGAAGCUUGCUCCUCUGACGUUAGCGGCGGACGGGUGAGUAACACGUGGAUAACCUACCUAUAAGACUGGGAUAACUUCGGGAAACCGGAGCUAAUACCGGAUAAUAUGUUGAACCGCAUGGUUCAACAGUAAAAGACGGUCUUGCUGUCACUUAUAGAUGGAUCCGCGCUGCAUUAGCUAGUUGGUAAGGUAACGGCUUACCAAGGCAACGAUGCGUAGCCGACCUGAGAGGGUGAUCGGCCACACUGGAACUGAGACACGGUCCAGACUCCUACGGGAGGCAGCAGUAGGGAAUAUUCCGCAAUGGGCGAAAGCCUGACGGAGCAACGCCGCGUGAGUGAAGAAGGUCUUCGGAUCGUAAAACUCUGUUAUUAGGAAAGAACAAAUGUGUAAGUAACUAUGCACGUCUUGACGGUACCUAAUCAGAAAGCAACGGCUAACUACGUG
Molecule: ribosomal RNA, 497 nt
Filed under: uncultured bacterium
Lineage: Bacteria
Description: partial 16S ribosomal RNA
Rfam family: Bacterial small subunit ribosomal RNA
Source: RNAcentral